This 1574-nucleotide long non-coding RNA is filed under the name Homo sapiens (human). RNAcentral's name for it is "HSALNT0319029". The record is from RNAcentral. Lineage: Eukaryota; Metazoa; Chordata; Mammalia; Primates; Hominidae.
UAGGGCUCAGGCUGUGAGAAACAUCCUGCCGGGCAAGUCCUAAGCCCAACCGCCUGAUCUCAGGAAAUUCCUCACUUAGCAACAGCUAACCACCCUGCCCACCCCACUUCACAACAAGCCCAGAUCUCUCCCACCCGGACCUAAACUUACCCAGUCUGUAAGCGGGGGCGGGCUCUGGCCUUAGUUGGUGUCCCCCUCCGCGGGUGUUUGUUCGGUAAACCUGUGUUGCUGUAGAGCCGCCUCCGUCCGUUUUUCCUCCCGUUCCUGCGCUAACAAUGACAUUAUACCAAAUGUAACUGAUAUACUAAUACAUGCUGCUGUAAUAAGGAGUCCUCAUUUAAGUUACUGUGUCCAAAAUGAGUUUCCAGUGGUCCUCCAUCUUGAUACAUGCUCCAGUAUCACUUAUACAGAAAGGGUGGACAUGGACACAAGGGUUCAUGGGUGGUUAGCCUCAAAGACAAAUAUUAGUGAUGAACAUCAUGCUGUACUCAGAAUUGCUUCUCUUGACUGAUAAUGAAAGCUUUUUCACUAAGCCACGCUUGACUGCCUGACUCUUCCAUUAUGAUGAGCCCUCUCCCAGGAUGCUCCUCAGGGGUUUAUUACAGUUGACUUCUGGAUCAGGCUGCCAGACAUAUAGAGACACGUCUGAAUUCCACGUAUGAACAGAGCAUAGACUAAAGCUGUAACACCUUAUCGUCUCCCAGGCUGCUUCCAAGCUUCUGAAAACUGGUUUUGCCCCUAAAACCUUAAUACAUUGUAAAAUCAACCCUGUUAUGUUUGAAUCAUAGCAUUUUAGAAAAAUGAAAUAGUGAUUUUGAUGCUACUGCUUGAUAAUACAGAAAAGUAAAUGUCUAUGCAAGGACAUGAAGUACUUAUAUUUUUAAACUUUAAAAAGGGAAGUAACCAGACAUUGGGCUUCCUUGUCAUUUAAAGCAGCAGCCCCCAACCUUUUUGGCACCAGGGACCAGUUUCAUAGAAGACAAUUUUUCCAGGGACCCGGUGUGGGGAGAUGGUUUCCAGAUGAUUCAAGCACAUUACAUUUAUUGUAUACUGUAUUUCUAUUAUUAUUACUAUAAUUAUACAACUCAAUAUAAUUCAGAGUCGUUGGGUACCCUGAGCUUGUUUUCCUGCAACUAGAUGCUCCCAUCUGGGGUUGAUGGGACAGAGUGACAGAUCAUCAGGUAUUAGAUUGUCAUAAGGAGUGCAUGACAUAGAUCCCUCGCAUGUGCAGUUCACAAUAGAGUUUGCACUCCUGUGAGAAUCCAAUGCUGCAGUUGAUCUGAUGGGAGCUGGAGCUCAGGCAGUAAUGUGUGCGAUGAGGAGGGGCUGUGAAUACAGAUGAAGCUUCUCUGGCUUGCCUGCUGUUCACUGCUUGCUGUGUGGCUUGGUUCCUAACGGGCCAUGGACUAGUACUGGUCUGUGGCCCAGGGGCUGUGGACCCCUGAUUUUAAGAAGUAAGAUAGCAACAAAAAUAAGGAUUUGUUAAUUCAACAACGUUGUGAAGGUUUAGGAAUUUCUUUUAAUUUCACAGUGUUUAUUUUUUGCCUGUAUUUUCUAAUUACCUGUUAUAUUUA